GAUGAACGCUGGCGGCGUGCCUAAUACAUGCAAGUCGAGCGAACAGACGAGGAGCUUGCUCCUCUGACGUUAGCGGCGGACGGGUGAGUAACACGUGGAUAACCUACCUAUAAGACUGGGAUAACUUCGGGAAACCGGAGCUAAUACCGGAUAAUAUAUUGAACCGCAUGGUUCAAUAGUGAAAGACGGUUUUGCUGUCACUUAUAGAUGGAUCCGCGCCGCAUUAGCUAGUUGGUAAGGUAACGGCUUACCAAGGCAACGAUGCGUAGCCGACCUGAGAGGGUGAUCAGCCACACUGGAACUGAGACACGGUCCAGACUCCUACGGGAGGCAGCAGUAGGGAAUCUUCCGCAAUGGGCGAAAGCUUGACGGAGCAACGCCGCGUGAGUGAUGAAGGUCUUCGGAUCGUAAAACUCUGUUGUUAGGGAAGAACAAAUGUGUAAGUAACUAUGCACGUCUUGACGGUACCUAAUCAGAAAGCCACGGCUAACUACGUG
RNAcentral lists this ribosomal RNA (497 nucleotides) under uncultured bacterium. RNAcentral describes it as "partial 16S ribosomal RNA". It matches the Rfam family "Bacterial small subunit ribosomal RNA", at positions 28 to 507 of the family's 1533-position model. The record is from RNAcentral.